This is a long non-coding RNA of Trichoplusia ni (cabbage looper), 1197 nucleotides long. RefSeq lists it as uncharacterized. Lineage: Eukaryota; Metazoa; Arthropoda; Insecta; Lepidoptera; Noctuidae. The transcript is spliced from 2 exons. The record is from RefSeq and is a predicted model, not a curated record.
AGGCUGGUUUUACAGUCACGCGUUUCGGCAGCGCCGUCGGAGCGCGCGCGCUCGGAUAUGUUUGGGGUAUUAGUAGCGUUUCAAAUUCGCGCGCUUGAGCAGCGCCGUUCGCGUCCUAUUCGCGCGGCGCGGUCGAAGCGCGCGCCGCUCGUGCGCUUCUACGGCCAUUGUGCGUUUUAGUCUCACGCCGUUGAGACGUGCCGUUAGGUACUGUUGUGUACAAAAUGAAUCACAUCGAUACGGGUCGAGUAAUUGACGAAGUGCGAAUUAGAAGAUGUUUAUGGGACCCGGCCGAUGAUUUUUAUAAGAAUAUAGAAUUUAUAAGAAUAAGGCGAAAAUAUUUAUAAAAUUUAUAACUAUUUUCUCGUAAAUCAGAGAAAGAUGUUACGUGUUCGCCUCUCAGUAACCUUGUAGCGUUAUAAGGAUCAACACCUACUGUUCUUCGACGUUUUUGUUGCCUUUUUUUCCAUAAAAAGUAAAUAGCCAGUACUCUAACCGCAUUGCCGUUCAUUUUGUAUCUGUUUGUACACGACUGUCUCACAGCAGCGAAACGCGCCGUACUAAUGUCGUUUUAUGGUGCACCGCUGUUCAAACGCGCGCUGUCCAACAGCGCGCUGUCCAACGGCGCGUCUAGCGGCGUGACUGUAAAACCAGCCUAAGCGUUUUGAAGCGCGCGCUUUGAUAACGCGCGUUUUGAGAACCAGUAGUUCUUAUUUAGGUGUACACAUGCAAACGCGCGUUUCGGAUGAAGCGCGCGUCGAACGCGCGCUUUGAUAUUUUCGUUCAAACGCGCGUUGGGAGGGCGUCAGCCGCGCGCUUCGAGAUACAUGAGCCGCCAUUUUGUUGUACAUUUGAUCGCGCGCUUUCGUGUAGAGUGGACGCACGGGACGACGAAAAUGGAGACCGAGCAUUUCGAUUCAGAUUUGUUUAUAGAUGAAAUUCAAAAACGACCAGCGAUCUGGGAUAUGGAAAGUCCCGAUUAUAAGAAUAAAGUGAUUAAAAAACGUAAUUGGGAGGAGCUUGUAGAAAUAUUGUGACGCUGGAGAUAGUUUAGAGAAAAAGAAACUGUUGGGUUCUACACUAACAAGAAAAUGGAAAAGUAUUCGAGACAAUUACAUAAGGGAGUCUAAACGGCAAAAAAAUCUUCCAUCUGGGUCUGGAUCCUCCAAACAUGUACCAUAUGUAUACUUCGCAAAA